Molecule: small nuclear RNA, 154 nt
Organism: Nicotiana attenuata
Lineage: Eukaryota; Viridiplantae; Streptophyta; Magnoliopsida; Solanales; Solanaceae
Source: Rfam
GUGUUCGUAGAAAGGAGAGAAGGUUGGCAUCUCCACUGACUGGGACAGGAACAACCUUCGGGGGCUUUACCUGUUAUCUGAGCGCGUGUCUGUGUACUUUGAGUUGGAAGGGCACAUCCACAUUAAGGAACUUCCACAAGUUGGAAAAUUUUGU